Molecule: ribosomal RNA, 492 nt
Filed under: uncultured bacterium
Lineage: Bacteria
Description: partial 16S ribosomal RNA
Rfam family: Bacterial small subunit ribosomal RNA
Source: RNAcentral
AGUGAACGCUGGCGGUAGGCCUAACACAUGCAAGUCGAACGGCAGCACAGUAAGAGCUUGCUCUUACGGGUGGCGAGUGGCGGACGGGUGAGGAAUACAUCGGAAUCUACUUUUUCGUGGGUGAUAACGUAGGGAAACUUACGCUAAUACCGCAUAUGACCUACGGGUGAAAGCAGUGGAUCUUCGGACCUUGCGCGAUUGUAUGAGCCGAUGUCGGAUUAGCUAGUUGGCGGGGUAAAGGCCCACCAAGGCGACGAUCCGUAGCUGGUCUGAGAGGAUGAUCAGCCACACUGGAACUGAGACACGGUCCAGACUCCUACGGGAGGCAGCAGUGGGGAAUAUUGGACAAUGGGCGAAAGCCUGAUCCAGCCAUACCGCGUGAGUGAAGAAGGCCUUCGGGUUGUAAAGCCCUUUUGUUGGGAAAGAAAAGCAGCAGGUUAAUACCCCGCUGUUCUGACGGUACCCAAAGAAUAAGCACCGGCUAACUUCGUG